UUAAUUACAAUUAGUUUUUAUGAGGUGUUCUUUGUGAAGUCUAUAAACAGAAGAAGUAGUAAACUGAAGAAGUGAGUGACUAACAUUUUUAAACAUGUUCUCUGUGUGUGUGUGUGCUAUUUUAGAAACAUUCAUUAGACUUUGCAAACGCAAGGAAAACCCUGUUAAUUCCAUCUGGAAAAAAGCGUCUGCUAAGUCACAGCAAUGCUAAAUGAUGAGAAUAACAAACCAUACGAUCCUGAAAGUGUUUUUGCAAUUGAGGUUAAGAACUCCGAUACCCCACGGUGAUGCACCUCAAUAUUGUUCUGGUCUCUAAGAAGUAAGAUUUUCUUCUCAUUUCUCAGGUGGCUCUUUGCCCUAAUGCUUUUUAAAAUUCUUAUUUUGUAUGCCAUUUAUUUCUGCGCAUGUUGUAUGCUGUGUGUGUAACUGUGGUGUUUGUUACAACAAAAAAAUUGUAUAAAGACAAAAUGGUCAAAAUUGAUGAUAAAGCAAUUGCUUUUUAGUACAACAUUUCUUUUUUGCAGGGACAAGCAUAGGUGUCAUUUGCACUGGGGACACUGGGGAUAUGUCCCUACCACUUCUUUAAAUUGCUGAUUUUGUCCCCAUCACUUUUUGAAAGCAUUUUGUUACGGCUGCCACCGCACCCCACCUGUAUUUGCCUGUGCUUUUAAGUAGGCUAUCUAUUAUGCUGAGCAGGCUGUGCAAGCCCACGCGGAGGAUUGGCUGCACAAGGAGAGAAGGUCCCGCCUACUUCCUGGGUUUCCAGUUACCAUGCCCUCGAUUGGUGCGGCAUGCUCUACGGGCCAAUCAGAUGAAGACCGUGACGACCACCACCUGCUUAAAAGCCUGCCGGGUCUGCCAUUCCAGGCAGCAAUUUGACCUGAGUUGCUUGCCUUGGGAAUGCCUGUUGUAGAGCUCAUAGUAGUGUUUUGUACCCUGUGCUAGACUUUGUGUCUUGACUUUGUGUGAUUCACUGUGUGAAGACACCUCGGGACGUAACAAUUUGUUAAACGUUCUGAAAAUACCUUGCACCAAAAAAGUGACGCCCUUGGGGACAAGUGUUGCUGUGACACGGGUUUAAAGAGAUCUGGAUGCAGAAAUUGAUUGUACUUGCAGGGUAGUGACUAGUUCUCACAUCAAGGAAAGCAUAAAAGAAUCUUGUGGAACCUGUUGGUGAAGACGUCUGAACCUAAUGUCAAACUACGCUCUUAAACAAAACACAAUAAAAAGCAACAAACUGGAAAUUCGUUUUUGUGCGGUCAUACAUUCUGCAUUAAAUCUUUUGUACACAUUGA
Micropterus dolomieu (smallmouth bass) is the source of this 1295-nucleotide long non-coding RNA. RefSeq lists it as uncharacterized. The record is from RefSeq and is a predicted model, not a curated record. The transcript is spliced from 6 exons. NCBI's taxonomy places the organism in Eukaryota, Metazoa, Chordata, Actinopteri, Centrarchiformes, Centrarchidae.